RNAcentral lists this long non-coding RNA (435 nucleotides) under Ananas comosus (pineapple). RNAcentral describes it as "long non-coding RNA (ACOM_LNC013978)". The record is from RNAcentral. Lineage: Eukaryota; Viridiplantae; Streptophyta; Magnoliopsida; Poales; Bromeliaceae.
AGAGAAAAAAUUAUGGCUUUGAGUUGAUUUGUGGAUUAAAUUAUAUACAAUAAAAACGGUCUAUAGCGACACUUUUAAAUAUAGGUACAUGUCAAAAAAGUGCUGCUAGCUAAAAUUACCGACACUUUUAAAAAGUGCUGUUAUAUGUGGGGUCGCUAGGUAUAUAGUGACAGUUAAAGAGUGUCGCUAUAACCUAAAAGAGUGCUGCUAAUUUACGAACACUUACUUAAGCAUUUAGCAACCGCCGAAACUUUAUCUCGUUGGCUGCGGUGGCGGAGGAGGACGACAGGAAAGGCUCUUCGUCUAGAAUUUCAGUGAAUUGAGUGAAGAGAGAAGAAAAAAUGGCAAUUGAUUUUUUUUUUUUUUUUCUUUUCUGUUUGUAAUUGGGCCAAAUGGACUGGGUGUGGUGGGUUGAGUAGAGUAAUCUUUUAUUUU